UGAAGGAGGAGCUUGCUCCUCCGGAUUAGUGGCGAACGGGUGAGUAACACGUGAGCAAUCUGCCCUUGACUCUGGGAUAAGCGCUGGAAACGGCGUCUAAUACCGGAUACGACCCGCGGAGGCAUCUCCUGCGGGUGGAAAGAACUUCGGUCAAGGAUGAGCUCGCGGCCUAUCAGCUUGUUGGUGAGGUAAUGGCUCACCAAGGCGACGACGGGUAGCCGGCCUGAGAGGGUGACCGGCCACACUGGGACUGAGACACGGCCCAGACUCCUACGGGAGGCAGCAGUGGGGAAUAUUGCACAAUGGGCGCAAGCCUGAUGCAGCAACGCCGCGUGAGGGACGACGGCCUUCGGGUUGUAAACCUCUUUUAGCAGGGAAGAAGCGAGAGUGACGGUACCUGCAGAAAAAGCACCGGCUAACUACGUGCCAGCAGCCGCGGUAAUACGUAGGGUGCAAGCGUUGUCCGGAAUUAUUGGGCGUAAAGAGCUCGUAGGCGGUCUGUCGCGUCUGCUGUGAAAACCCGAGGCUCAACCUCGGGCUUGCAGUGGGUACGGGCAGACUAGAGUGCGGUAGGGGAGAUUGGAAUUCCUGGUGUAGCGGUGGAAUGCGCAGAUAUCAGGAGGAACACCGAUGGCGAAGGCAGAUCUCUGGGCCGUAACUGACGCUGAGGAGCGAAAGCGUGGGGAGCAAACAGGCUUAGAUACCCUGGUAGUCCACGCCGUAAACGUUGGGAACUAGAUGUGGGGACCAUUCCACGGUCUCCGUGUCGUAGCUAACGCA
RNAcentral lists this ribosomal RNA (780 nucleotides) under Agrococcus sp. RNAcentral's name for it is "bacterial SSU rRNA". It matches the Rfam family "Bacterial small subunit ribosomal RNA", at positions 68 to 859 of the family's 1533-position model. Lineage: Bacteria; Bacillati; Actinomycetota; Actinomycetes; Micrococcales; Microbacteriaceae. The record is from RNAcentral.